Molecule: ribosomal RNA, 362 nt
Filed under: Chalcides polylepis
Lineage: Eukaryota; Metazoa; Chordata; Lepidosauria; Squamata; Scincidae
Description: partial 12S ribosomal RNA
Rfam family: Bacterial small subunit ribosomal RNA
Source: RNAcentral
UACACACAACAUUGUCCGCCAGACAACUACAAGCGAAAAACUCAAAACUCCAAGGACUUGGCGGUGCUCCACACCAGCCUAGAGGAGCCUGUCCUAUAAUCGAUACCCCACGUUAAACCUUGCCGCCCCUGGCCACUCAGCCUAUAUACCGCCGUCGCCAGCACACCUUAUGAGAGAAGUAGCAGUGUGCACAACAGUUACCAACUAGUACGUCAGGUCAAGGUGUACCAUAUGAGGCGGAAGAGAUGGGCUACAUUUUCUACUACAGAAUAAACGAAAGGGGCAAUGAAAUGUGUCCCCGAAGGUGGAUUUAGCAGUAAGACAGCCAAGAAACGCUAUCUUAAAACCGCUCUGGAGCGCGC